Molecule: long non-coding RNA, 1030 nt
Filed under: Actinidia chinensis (golden kiwifruit)
Lineage: Eukaryota; Viridiplantae; Streptophyta; Magnoliopsida; Ericales; Actinidiaceae
Description: long non-coding RNA (ACHI_LNC005890)
Source: RNAcentral
AAUAUUAAUUAUCUAAAUAAUUAAAAUAAAAAUAAAAAAUAAAAAACCGCCUAGGCGCUAAGCCCCCCCCUCGGCCGCCCGCCCGCUUACCGCCUACUGCCUAGUGCUUUUUAGAACACUGAUAACAAUAGAAAAAUUGGCCACCGGCUUUUGGAAGAGACCCUAUAAAGCUAAGGUCCUUUGUAGUUUUACCUUGAAAAUAUGUUGUUGAUUUUGCAGAGACCAUGGCAGUGAAAGUAAAUGUCUUAAACUAAGAAUCACGGACACGGACACGUGUGUCGUGUCGGGUAUUGACACGACACACUGACACGUCAAUUUUCAAAAAAUGUAGGAUACGACACGGCGGAGAUACGGCAAAUAUAUAUAUGUUUUAUCGGCAAAUAUAUAUAUAUAUAUAUAUAUUUAUAUGUCCUAUAUAUUUAUAUUAUAAUCAAGGGUAAUUAAAUAAGUGUGCUUUGACCUUUGUGUAUGAGCCUUUAAAAAUAGCAUUACAAAAUUUACACUGAAACUCCUAAUUUCCUCCCCCUCCUACAGUCUUAUCAAGUCUAGUAACAUACUUCCACAAAGGUUUAUUUUCAUUCUCUUCACGAAUUUUAGGAAUAUUAAAAGAACUAUUAGAACCACCUUGUGAAGCCAUAUUUUAAAGUUCCUAUUAAAAAAAAAAAGCAUAUACAAAACAGUGAAACACACAGUAGUAGCACAAUCAGGGAAGCAAUCAUAAUCAGAGAAGAAGGAGAAGGAGAAGAAAAAGAAUCAGCAAAAAAAAAAGUAGCAGCAGUAGUCAUAUUCAAAAAAGAGGAAGAAGACGACACAACAAUUAGCCAAAAAAAAAUAAAAAACAAAGUAACAGGCAGCAACAAUCAUAAUCAAAGAAGAAGAAGGAGGAGAAGAAGAAAAAGUGUGCAAGAGAGAGAGAGACAUAUCUGGACAAGUGGUUUUCUUCAUCGUCUCCCUCUUCUUCGCUUCAUUCUUCUUCGAUUAGGGCUUGUUGCAACAGGUAGGUUUUUCACUCCUAGCCCUAGGGUUUCUC